This 74-nucleotide transfer RNA is filed under the name Lentisphaerota bacterium. RNAcentral describes it as "Lentisphaerae bacterium (anaerobic digester metagenome) tRNA-Gln". It matches the Rfam family "tRNA". Rfam says of the family: Transfer RNA (tRNA) molecules are approximately 80 nucleotides in length. Their secondary structure includes four short double-helical elements and three loops (D, anti-codon, and T loops). Lineage: Bacteria; Pseudomonadati; Lentisphaerota. The record is from RNAcentral. RNAcentral also lists the same sequence under 1 other name.
UGCCCGAUGGUGUAAUGGCAGCACACGGGUUUUUGAUGCCCAGAGUCAUGGUUCAAAUCCAUGUCGGGCAACCA